UACAGAGGUCCCAAGCGUUGUUCGGAUUCACUGGGCGUAAAGGGUGCGUAGGCGGUCGGGUAAGUCUGAUGUGAAAGCUCGGAGCUUAACUCCGAAAUGGCAUUGGAUACUAUUCGGCUUGAGGAAUGGAGGGGAGACUGGAAUGCUCGGUGUAGCAGUGAGAUGCGUAGAUAUCGAGCGGAACACCAGUGGCGAAGGCGAGUCUCUGGACAUUUCCUGACGCUGAGGCACGAAAGCCAGGGGAGCAAACGGG
This 253-nucleotide ribosomal RNA is filed under the name uncultured bacterium. RNAcentral's name for it is "partial 16S ribosomal RNA". It matches the Rfam family "Bacterial small subunit ribosomal RNA", at positions 524 to 776 of the family's 1533-position model. The record is from RNAcentral.